This 72-nucleotide transfer RNA is filed under the name Camelus bactrianus (Bactrian camel). It matches the Rfam family "tRNA". From Rfam's summary of the family: Transfer RNA (tRNA) molecules are approximately 80 nucleotides in length. Their secondary structure includes four short double-helical elements and three loops (D, anti-codon, and T loops). Lineage: Eukaryota; Metazoa; Chordata; Mammalia; Artiodactyla; Camelidae. The record is from Rfam by way of RNAcentral. RNAcentral also lists the same sequence under 2 other names.
GAGGUUAUAGCUCAGUGGUAGAGUGUGUACUUGGCAUGCAGAAGGUCCUGGGUUCAAUCCCCCAUACCUCCA